GGUCAAUUGACUAUUUUGGUCAUACUGACUUAUUUUUAGUUCUUACUUUGCUGUACAUUAUUGCAGUUUAUCUCUAUCUAUAAUAAUAUUCAAGAUAAUAACAAAAAAACAGCAAAAUUUCCUCAAAAUUACCAAUUCAGGGGCAGCAACCUAACAACCGAUUAUCCGAUUCAUCUGAAAAUUCCAGGGCAGAUAGAUCGUGACCUGAUCAACAAUUUUACUUCCUGUCAGAUUUGCUCUUAAUGCUUUGGUUUUUGAGUUAUAAGCCAAAAACUGCAUUUAACCCCCAUGUUCUAUUUUUAGCCAUGGCGGCCAUCUUGGUUUGUUGGCCGAGUUACCGGACACACUUUUUUAACUAGAUACCCCAAUAAUGAUUAUGGCUAAGUUUGGUUAAAUUUGGCCCAGUAGUUUCAGAGGAGAAGAUUUUUCUAAAAGAUUACUAAGAUUUAUGAAAAAUGGUUAAAAAUUGACUAUAAAGGGCAA
Molecule: long non-coding RNA, 483 nt
Filed under: Mytilus galloprovincialis (Mediterranean mussel)
Lineage: Eukaryota; Metazoa; Mollusca; Bivalvia; Mytilida; Mytilidae
Source: RNAcentral